Molecule: long non-coding RNA, 419 nt
Filed under: Androctonus crassicauda
Lineage: Eukaryota; Metazoa; Arthropoda; Arachnida; Scorpiones; Buthidae
Source: RNAcentral
AUUUAGUGAAUACCAAAUUUUAGCAAUAACUAUUUCUAAAUUACUUAAUGAAUAAUUAUGUCCUACUAUUUUGCUAUUAUGAAAUAUUAAUAGAUACAGUACAGUAUAUACAUAAAUGAUUAAAUAUGCUUACCUUGCUUUGUUUGUGGGAAAUCCAAAAAGAGACACUUCGUUUGUUUUGGCUUCUUCUCUGCACAAAAUGCACAUUCUUUUUCUUUGAUUCUCCAUCUCUUCAAUUAAUAAAGAUGAAAUUGAAAAAUGUAAUUCAAAUUUCUUUUGUGCGAAAAAGCGAAUAUAGAAACAACGAUAGCACGUGGACCGGAUGUCUAAUCUAUGGUUAGCACAUGGGUAUAAUGAUGCAAUAUUGAAAAGUCAUCAUUACAUAAUUCUAUUUCAUUCAUAAAUAUUACACAUUGUAC